UGGGGAAUUUUGGACAAUGGGCGAAAGCCUGAUCCAGCAAUGCCGCGUGUGUGAAGAAGGCCUUCGGGUUGUAAAGCACUUUUGUCCGGAAAGAAAUCCUCUGGGUUAAUACCUCGGGGGGUAUGACGGUACCGGAAGAAUAAGCACCGGCUAACUACGUGCCAGCAGCCGCGGUAAUACGUAGGGUGCAAGCGUUAAUCGGAAUUACUGGGCGUAAAGCGUGCGCAGGCGGUUUUGUAAGACGGAUGUGAAAUCCCCGGGCUUAACCUGGGAACUGCAUUCGUGACUGCAAGGCUAGAGUAUGGCAGAGGGGGGUUAGAAUUCCACGUGUAGCAGUGAAAUGCGUAGAGAUGUGGAGGAAUACCGAUGGCGAAGGCAGCCCCCUGGGCCAAUACUGACGCUCAUGCACGAAAGCGUGGGGAGCAAACAGGAUUCAGAUACCCUGGUAGUCCACGCCCUAAACGAUGUCAACUAGUUGUUGGGGAUUCAUUUCCUUAGUAACGUAGCUAACGCGUGAAGUUGACCGCCUGGGGAGUACGGUCGCAAGAUU
RNAcentral lists this ribosomal RNA (550 nucleotides) under uncultured bacterium. Its description in RNAcentral is "partial 16S ribosomal RNA". It matches the Rfam family "Bacterial small subunit ribosomal RNA", at positions 355 to 895 of the family's 1533-position model. The record is from RNAcentral.